AAAAUCCGGGAAUCUCUAUGCCGAGCACCGAGACGAGUCCUAUGAGGACGAAGUGACUGACACCACGCUUCCAGGAAAAGCCACUAAGCUUCAGCUGUAGAAAAACCGUACCGCAAACCGACACAGGUAGGCAGGGUGAGAAUCCCAAGGCGCUUGAGAGAACUCGGGUGAAGGAACUAGGCAAAAUGGCACCGUAACUUCGGGAGAAGGUGCGCCUCUUGGUGUGGUCACGUGCGUGACUGAGCAUCGAGGGGUCGCAGUAACCUGGCCGCUGCGACUGUUUAUCAAAAACACAGCACUCUGCAAACACGAAAGUGGACGUAUAGGGUGUGACGCCUGCCCGGUGCUGGAAGGUUAAUUGAUGGGGUCAGCCGCAAGGCGAAGCUCUUGAUCGAAGCCCCAGUAAACGGCGGCCGUAACGAUAACGGUCCUAAGGUAGCGAAAUUCCUUGUCGGGUAAGUUCCGACCUGCACGAAUGGCGUAACGACAGCGGCGCUGUCUCCACCCGAGACUCAGUGAAAUUGAAAUCGCUGUGAAGAUGCAGCGUUCCCGCGGCAAGACGGAAAGACCCCGUGAACCUUUACUAUAGCUUUACACUGAACGUUGAGUUCUUCUGUGUAGGAUAGGUGGGAGGCUAUGAAACCAGGACGCUAGUUCUGGUGGAGCCAUCCUUGAAAUACCACCCUGAAGUGCUUGACGUUCUAACCUAGGUCCGUAAUCCGGAUCGGGGACCGUGUAUGGUGGGUAGUUUGACUGGGGCGGUCUCCUCCCAAAGAGUAACGGAGGAGCACGAAGGUACGCUCAGCGCGGUCGGACAUCGCGCACUGUGUGCAAAGGCAUAAGCGUGCUUGACUGCGAGAUCGACGGAUCAAGCAGGUACGAAAGUAGGUCUUAGUGAUCCGGUGGUUCUGUAUGGAAGGGCCAUCGCUCAACGGAUAAAAGGUACUCCGGGGAUAACAGGCUGAUACCGCCCAAGAGUUCAUAUCGACGGCGGUGUUUGGCACCUCGAUGUCGGCUCAUCACAUCCUGGGGCUGUAGCCGGUCCCAAGGGUAUGGCUGUUCGCCAUUUAAAGUGGUACGCGAGCUGGGUUCAGAACGUCGUGAGACAGUUCGGUCCCUAUCUGUCGUGGGCGUUGGAGAUUUGAGGGGGGCUGCUCCUAGUACGAGAGGACCGGAGUGGACGUUCCGCUGGUGUUCGGGUUGUCAUGCCCAUGGCAUUGCCCGGUAGCUACGAACGGAAGUGAUAACCGCUGAAAGCAUCUAAGCGGGAAGCACGCCCCAAGAUGAGAUCUCCCGAGAGCUUGACUCUCCUAAAGGCACCAUCAAGACUAGGUGGUUGAUAGGCACGGUGUGGAAGUGCAGCAAUGCAUUGAGCUUACGUGUACUAAUGAGCCGUGAGGCUUGAUCA
This 1408-nucleotide ribosomal RNA is filed under the name metagenome. Its description in RNAcentral is "bacterial LSU rRNA". It matches the Rfam family "Bacterial large subunit ribosomal RNA", at positions 1537 to 2925 of the family's 2925-position model. The record is from RNAcentral.